CCUACGGGAGGCAGCAGUGGGGAAUAUUGGGCAAUGGAGGAAACUCUGACCCAGCAAUGCCGCGUGAAUGAAGAAGGUCUUCGGAUUGUAAAGUUCUUUAGUCAGGGAAGAAUAAAAUGACGGUACCUGAAGAAAAAGCAUCCGCUAACUCCGUGCCAGCAGCCGCGGUAAUACGGAGGCUGCGAGCGUUAUCCGGAUUUAUUGGGUUUCAAGGGUGCGUAGGCGGAAUGCCAAGUCAGCGGUAAAAUCGCGGGGCUCAACCUCGCUCCGCCGUUGAAACUGGCGUUCUUGAGUGGGCGAGAAGUAUGCGGAAUGCGUGGUGUAGCGGUGAAAUGCAUAGAUAUCACGCAGAACUCCGAUUGCGAAGGCAGCAUACCGGCGCCCAACUGACGCUGAAGCACGAAAGCGUGGGUAUCGAACAGGAUUAGAUACCCGAGUAGUC
Molecule: ribosomal RNA, 442 nt
Filed under: uncultured bacterium
Lineage: Bacteria
Description: partial 16S ribosomal RNA
Rfam family: Bacterial small subunit ribosomal RNA
Source: RNAcentral